Molecule: long non-coding RNA, 1789 nt
Organism: Haliotis rufescens (red abalone)
Lineage: Eukaryota; Metazoa; Mollusca; Gastropoda; Lepetellida; Haliotidae
Exons: 3
Source: RefSeq, a predicted model, not a curated record
CUUGGCUCUUUUAAGAAAACUGUGGAAUGCCUUGUUUUCAUCAUGAGUCUUGACAUGCUUCACAAUAUGAUCCUCAGACAAACAAAUGUGUACAAAAGUGCACAAUACAGUCAAAUAAUGAAGAGCCUCCGCGUUAAUCAAACAACGCCCUCCAAUUAUGAUUGGUAUAUAUAGGCGAUUGAGGGAAGAGCAAAGGUGGUGGAUCUAUUGUCUGACAUGAUUCUUCGUGUGAGGGUGUCAAUACCCUGAAUCUCCUGUUUCGUCCAAUCAACAGCACCAAAAGAAUACGCAUAAGUAUUUGUGGCUUUGACUUUAUUGCGGGCGUUCGACACUGAACACCAGAUUUUCUUUAGUCUACAUACAUGUAUGUACUCUGCCCGAAGUUUGUCCUUGAUAUGGACAUUCUGGAGUUUGUCCCUAACCUGCAUUCCGAGGUACGUAUAGGCCUGACCUUCCAAGAGAUGGUUAGUAACUCCUCUCCUAAGUAAACUGACUGAUCCUUCCUCUUCUACGUUGCCACGUUUCACAUGAAGAAUGGUGCAUUUGUCGAAUCCAAAGGACAUCCCAAUAUCAUAAGAAAAGGACUCGACAAGGAGAAUUUGUUUUUUCAAUGUGGAUCCUGCACUGGCAAUAAGUUCAAGGUCAUCCAUGUAAAGGAGAAAUAUAUGACUGCGAUGCUGCGGUAAAGUAGCCAACAGCAGCUCUAACCAAGCUUUGGGGAUUUACGGUUGGGCUACAAUUUCGUCUCGAGGGACGAAUCAUGGAUAAUACGAUUAAAUAUUCAUGGAGUUUAUCAGAAUCUUUUAUCUGUUUGUGCAUAAUCCCGCGAAGUUCCAUCCGCAGGCAUUGUUGUUAUAGUCCCUAGCGCAGCCAUGUUGCCAACCAGAAGCAAGAAGUAGCACUUCAUCGUGGCAUCUCCCAGUUGUAUCAUGUUGAGAACUGCGCUCGAGCGCAGCGAGGUGAGACCAGUUUACGAUCUUCGUGAUAUGAAAGAUUCUAUUACGACAAGUCGUCAAUGAAUCCUUGAACUUGGGUUGGAAUUAUCGACUAGUAUGGAUGUGAUCACGUCUUUGUCAUCAAGGGAACUUGACUUAAUACGCGUGAGAAUGGAAAUGUGUACAUCGAAUUGCAGUCUAGAGGAGAGGAGAAUGUUAAAUCACUUCGGUGGAGUGUUUGCAUUCAAAUAUUCUCCUACAAAUAGAUCAAAGACCAUUUGAAAUAUGCUCAGAGCUGCCUAAGUAGACUCUGACUUUUAUGUUUUCCAAUCUCUCGGAUACAUGUGAACGACCAUAGUACUUAUGCAGAGGUUCAAUGCAUGACGUUAGCUUGUGUGCUGGGUAGCGUCAUCAGCUUGCGUGACAGAUGCUAACGUCUUCCUUUAAACACGCUGCUAUAGUAUUACUCCUACAAUAAAGCGACACAACCAUUUCUAUUUCCAUAAAACAUUGUCUGAUUUGUCCAUUGUACCAUUCCGACUAUGAGAUGAGGAUGUGUUUAUGAAUCACUGUCAAAUAGUGAUGGUACCAGGUGUUCGCGAAAAAAAACUAUUGACGUACAUGUAGAUAUGUUUUUCUAUGUAAAAUUAUUUCGUGCGUUUUCACUGGUAAAAAAAACACAAAAAAACAUUAAUACAAUCCAUAAGAAUGGAUGUAAGAUGGUGAGAUAUAUAUCAAAUACAUGCAUCUUGUUAAUGAAUGCCUUGAAUCCAGACCGCCUCCGUGGUCUUGUGGUAGAGCGUCCGCCCGGAGAGCGGAAGGUCCGGGGUUCGAUCCCGGGCCGCGUCAUACCA